Molecule: ribosomal RNA, 308 nt
Filed under: uncultured bacterium
Lineage: Bacteria
Description: partial 16S ribosomal RNA
Rfam family: Bacterial small subunit ribosomal RNA
Source: RNAcentral
GAGACAGCAGCCGCCACGGUAAUACGAAGGGUGCAAGCGUUACUCGGAAUUACUGGGCGUAAAGCGUGCGCAGGCGGUUUGUUAAGACAGAUGUGAAAUCCCCGGGCUCAACCUGGGAACUGCAUUUGUGACUGGCAGGCUAGAGUAUGGCAGAGGGGGGUGGAAUUCCGCGUGUAGCAGUGAAAUGCGUAGAUAUGCGGAGGAACACCGAUGGCGAAGGCAGCCCCCUGGGCCAAUACUGACGCUCAUGCACGAAAGCGUGGGGAGCAAACAGGAUUAGAUACCCCAGUAGUCCCUGUCUCUUAUAC